GUUGUAUGGUUAAGUGACUAAGCGUACACGGUGGAUGCCUUGGCAGUCAGAGGCGAUGAAGGACGUAGUAACUUGCGAUAAGCGUAGAUGAGGCAGUAACAGCCACUUGAGUCUACGAUUUCCGAAUGGGGAAACCCACUGGCAUAAGCCAGUAUCAUUGAGUGAAUACAUAGCUCAAUGAAGCGAACCGGGAGAACUGAAACAUCUAAGUACCCCGAGGAAAAGAAAUCAACCGAGAUUCCGAAAGUAGCGGCGAGCGAAAUUGGAUUAGCCCUUAAGCUUUACAUGUGUUAGACGAACGGUCUGGAAAGUCCGACGAUACAGGGUGAUAGUCCCGUAGUUGACGAUGCAUGUUCAGUGAAAUCGAGUAGGGCGGGACACGUGUUAUCCUGUCUGAAUAUGGGGGGACCAUCCUCCAAGGCUAAAUACUCCUGACUGACCGAUAGUGAACCAGUACCGUGAGGGAAAGGCGAAAAGAACCCCUGUGAGGGGAGUGAAAUAGAACCUGAAACCGUGUACGUACAAGCAGUAGGAGCACCUUCGUGGUGUGACUGCGUACCUUUUGUAUAAUGGGUCAGCGACUUAUAUUCAGUGGCAAGGUUAACCAUCUAGGGGAGCCGUAGGGAAACCGAGUCUUAACUGGGCGCCAUAGUCUCUGGAUAUAGACCCGAAACCGAGUGAUCUAGCCAUGGGCAGGUUGAAGGUUGAGUAACAUCAACUGGAGGACCGAACCGACUAAUGUUGAAAAAUUAGCGGAUGACUUGUGGCUAGGGGUGAAAGGCCAAUCAAACUCGGAGAUAGCUGGUUCUCCCCGAAAGCUAUUUAGGUAGCGCCUCGGACGAAUACUACUGGGGGUAGAGCACUGUUAAGGCUAGGGGGUCAUCCCGACUUACCAACCCUUUGCAAACUCCGAAUACCAGUAAGUACUAUCCGGGAGACACACGGCGGGUGCUAACGUCCGUCGUGGAGAGGGAAACAACCCAGACCGCCAGCUAAGGUCCCAAAUUACAGCUAAGUGGGAAACGAUGUGGGAAGGCUUAGACAGCUAGGAUGUUGGCUUAGAAGCAGCCAUCAUUUAAAGAAAGCGUAAUAGCUCACUAGUCGAGUCGGCCUGCGCGGAAGAUGUAACGGGGCUAAGUUGUAAACCGAAGCUGCGGCAAUGUUCUAUGAACAUUGGGUAGGGGAGCGUU
RNAcentral lists this ribosomal RNA (1190 nucleotides) under Vibrio vulnificus. RNAcentral's name for it is "partial 23S ribosomal RNA". It matches the Rfam family "Bacterial large subunit ribosomal RNA", at positions 1 to 1240 of the family's 2925-position model. The record is from RNAcentral. Lineage: Bacteria; Pseudomonadati; Pseudomonadota; Gammaproteobacteria; Vibrionales; Vibrionaceae.